AUUGGACGCUGGCGGCAGGCCUAACACAUGCAAGUCGAACGGUAACAGGAAGCAGCUUGCUGCUUCGCUGACGAGUGGCGGACGGGUGAGUAAUGUCUGGGAAGCUGCCUGAUGGAGGGGGAUAACUACUGGAAACGGUAGCUAAUACCGCAUAAUGUCGCAAGACCAAAGAGGGGGACCUUCGGGCCUCUUGCCAUCGGAUGUGCCCAGAUGGGAUUAGCUUGUUGGUGGGGUAACGGCUCACCAAGGCGACGAUCCCUAGCUGGCCUGAGAGGAUGACCAGCCACACUGGGACUGAGACACGGUCCAGACUCCUACGGGAGGCAGCAGUGGGGAAUAUUGCACAAUGGGCGCAAGCCUGAUGCAGCCAUGCCGCGUGUAUGAAGAAGGCCUUCGGGUUGUAAAGUACUUUCAGCGGGGAGGAAGGGAGUAAAGUUAAUACCUUUGCUCAUUGACGUUACCCGCAGAAGAAGCACCGGCUAACUCCGUG
RNAcentral lists this ribosomal RNA (490 nucleotides) under uncultured bacterium. Its description in RNAcentral is "partial 16S ribosomal RNA". It matches the Rfam family "Bacterial small subunit ribosomal RNA", at positions 30 to 507 of the family's 1533-position model. The record is from RNAcentral.